Molecule: signal recognition particle RNA, 294 nt
Filed under: Piliocolobus tephrosceles (Ugandan red Colobus)
Lineage: Eukaryota; Metazoa; Chordata; Mammalia; Primates; Cercopithecidae
Description: Metazoan signal recognition particle RNA (ENSPTEG00000025790.1)
Rfam family: Metazoan signal recognition particle RNA
About the family: The signal recognition particle (SRP) is a universally conserved ribonucleoprotein. It is involved in the co-translational targeting of proteins to membranes.
Source: RNAcentral
GCCAGGUGUGAUGUCACCUUAGUCCCAGCUAUUCUGGAGGCUGAGGCAGGAGGAUCGCUCGAGCCCAGGAGUUCUGGGCUGUAGUGUGCUAUGCCAAUUGUGUGUUCACACUCAGUUCAGCAUCAAUAUGGUGACUUCCUGGGAGCAAGGGACCACUAGGUUGCCUAAGGAGGGGUAAACCAGCCCAGGUCAGAAAUGGAACAGGUCAAAACUCCUGUGCUGAUUAGUAGUGGGAUCACACCUGUGAAUAGCCACUGCACUCCAGCCUGGGCAACUUCAUGAGAUCCCAUCUCU